Molecule: unclassified non-coding RNA, 283 nt
Filed under: plant metagenome
Description: partial contains small subunit ribosomal RNA, internal transcribed spacer 1, and 5.8S ribosomal RNA
Rfam family: Eukaryotic small subunit ribosomal RNA (bases 1-52)
Source: RNAcentral
GGAAGUAAAUCGUAACAAGGUUUCCGUAGGUGAACCUGCGGAAGGAUCAUUAUUGUAUACCCGAGGUGCGAGGGCUGUCGCUGACCCGAAAGGUCGUGCACGCCCGAGUGCCCUCACACACAUCCAUCUCACCCCUAUGUGCACCACCGCGUGGGUCCCCCUUUGGCUUGUUCGGAGGGGGGCUUACGUUUUCACACAAACUUUGUAUGCAGUGUAGAAUGUAUUUUUUGUUUUUGCGAUCACGCAAUCAAUACAACUUUCAACAACGGAUCUCUUGGCUCUC